Phyllostomus discolor (pale spear-nosed bat) is the source of this 98-nucleotide long non-coding RNA. RefSeq lists it as uncharacterized. The transcript has 3 exons. The record is from RefSeq and is a predicted model, not a curated record. Lineage: Eukaryota; Metazoa; Chordata; Mammalia; Chiroptera; Phyllostomidae.
GGGCAAAGACAAAAAGAGUGAAGAGAUUAAGUAGUACAAAUUGGUUAUUACAGAAUAAUCACAGAGAUAUAAAGUAUAGCACAGGGAAUAUAGUCAAU